UACGAAGGGAGCUAGCGUUGUUCGGAAUCACUGGGCGUAAAGCGCACGUAGGCGGACUCUUAAGUCGGUGGUGAAAUCCUGGAGCUCAACUCCAGAACUGCCUUCGAUACUGAGAGUCUUGAGUCCGGGAGAGGUGAGUGGAACUGCGAGUGUAGAGGUGAAAUUCGUAGAUAUUCGCAAGAACACCAGUGGCGAAGGCGGCUCACUGGCCCGGUACUGACGCUGAGGUGCGAAAGCGUGGGGAGCAAACAGG
Molecule: ribosomal RNA, 253 nt
Filed under: uncultured bacterium
Lineage: Bacteria
Description: partial 16S ribosomal RNA
Rfam family: Bacterial small subunit ribosomal RNA
Source: RNAcentral